GAUGAACGCUGGCGGCGUGCCUAAUACAUGCGAGUCGAGCGAACGGACGAGAAGCUUGCUUCUCUGAUGUUAGCGGCGGACGGGUGAGUAACACGUGGAUAACCUACCUAUAAGACUGGGAUAACUUCGGGAAACCGGAGCUAAUACCGGAUGAUAUUUUGAACCGCAUGGUUCAAAAGUGAAAGACGGUCUUGCUGUCACUUAUAGAUGGAUCCGCGCUGCAUUAGCUAGUUGGUAAGGUAACGGCUUACCAGGGCAACGAUGCAUAGCCGACCUGAGAGGGUGAUCGGCCACACUGGAACUGAGACACGGUCCAGACUCCUACGGGAGGCAGCAGUAGGGAAUCUUCCGCAAUGGGCGAAAGCCUGACGGAGCAACGCCGCGUGAGUGAUGAAGGUCUUCGGAUCGUAAAACUCUGUUAUUAGGGAAGAACAUAUGUGUAAGUAACUGUGCACAUCUUGACGGUACCUAAUCAGAAAGCCACGGCUAACUACGUG
Molecule: ribosomal RNA, 497 nt
Filed under: uncultured bacterium
Lineage: Bacteria
Description: partial 16S ribosomal RNA
Rfam family: Bacterial small subunit ribosomal RNA
Source: RNAcentral